UACGUAGGGAGCAAGCGUUGUCCGGAAUCAUUGGGCGUAAAGCGCGCGUAGGUGGCUCUAUAAGUCCGUUGUGAAAGUCAAAGGCUCAACCUUUGAAAGCCGAUGGAUACUGUAGAGCUAGAGUCCGGAAGAGGCGAGUGGAAUUCCUGGUGUAGCGGUGAAAUGCGCAGAUAUCAGGAAGAACACCCGUGGCGAAGGCGGCUCUCUGGGACGGUACUGACGCUGAGACGCGAAAGCGUGGGGAGCGAACAGG
This 253-nucleotide ribosomal RNA is filed under the name uncultured bacterium. RNAcentral's name for it is "partial 16S ribosomal RNA". It matches the Rfam family "Bacterial small subunit ribosomal RNA", at positions 524 to 776 of the family's 1533-position model. The record is from RNAcentral.